UGAUCUGUGGCUCAGUGAUAGAGCGCUUGCCUAUCAUGUGAGAGGCUCUGGGUUCGAGCCUCAGCACCACAU
Molecule: transfer RNA, 72 nt
Filed under: Ictidomys tridecemlineatus (thirteen-lined ground squirrel)
Lineage: Eukaryota; Metazoa; Chordata; Mammalia; Rodentia; Sciuridae
Description: Spermophilus tridecemlineatus (thirteen-lined ground squirrel) tRNA
Rfam family: tRNA
About the family: Transfer RNA (tRNA) molecules are approximately 80 nucleotides in length.
Source: Rfam by way of RNAcentral